GACGAACGCUGGCGGCGUGCUUAACACAUGCAAGUCGAGCGGUAAGGCCCUUUCGGGGGUACACGAGCGGCGAACGGGUGAGUAACACGUGGGUGACCUGCCCUCAGCUCUGGGAUAAGCCUGGGAAACCGGGUCUAAUACCGGAUAUGACUCCAUGACGCAUGUUGUGGGGUGGAAAGCCUUGUGCGGCUGAGGAUGGGCCCGCGGCCUAUCAGCUUGUUGGUGGGGGAUGGCCUACCAAGGCGACGACGGGUAGCCGGCCUGAGAGGGCGACCGGCCACACUGGGACUGAGACACGGCCCAGACUCCUACGGGAGGCAGCAGGUGGGGAAUCUUGCGCAAUGGGCGAAAGCCUGACGCAGCGACGCCGCGUGA
This 375-nucleotide ribosomal RNA is filed under the name uncultured bacterium. RNAcentral describes it as "bacterial SSU rRNA". It matches the Rfam family "Bacterial small subunit ribosomal RNA", at positions 28 to 404 of the family's 1533-position model. The record is from RNAcentral.